GUCCGGAGCGGCCGUCGAGCCGGUCUGCGACCCGGUAGUUUCCGCGGACGCACGACCGCGCGAGAGAGCGGUCGCGUCGGACGCAUUUGUCUCCCGCCCUAAGGACGCCGCAGCCGGUCGGGCAGCGCAAGCGCGACGGCCUGAGGGGCGGACGACGGCAGGUGACCGGAAGACCGCCUCGCGCGGUCGCCGGUUGUUAGCCGGUCCGCCAGUGGCCCGUCGCUCGACCGAGGUGUCACUAAGCCCUUCGGGGCCGAUAUCGCCUCCUCCCGAUGUGGAAGUCGGGACGGACCGUCGCAGGCGAAGGCCGCCGUCCCGUCGCACCCCUCGCGGUUGUGGACGGGCGAACGGUCGUCGCCGGUGGCGACGGCGGACCCGUCGGAGGCCGGAGGCUGGCGGCGAGUAGGUCGGUCGCCCAACCGACCCGUCUUGAAACACGGACCAAGGAGUCUAACAUGUGCGCGAGUCAGUGGGUCUUGGACAGGCCCACGGGCGCAACGAAAGCGAAGGUCGGCUCCGUCGGCCGAGUUGGGAUCCCGCGUCCCGAGAGAGGCGCGGGCGCACCAACGACCCGUCCCCAGCGGCUCGCCGCCGGGGCGGAGUUGGAGCGCACACGUUGGGACCCGAAAGAUGGUGAACUAUGCCCGGACAGGACGAGGCCAGAGGAAACUCUGGUGGAGGUCCGCAGC
RNAcentral lists this ribosomal RNA (689 nucleotides) under Caloctenus sp. Its description in RNAcentral is "partial large subunit ribosomal RNA". The stretch from base 441 to 689 matches the Rfam family "Eukaryotic large subunit ribosomal RNA", at positions 665 to 881 of the family's 3401-position model. The record is from RNAcentral. Lineage: Eukaryota; Metazoa; Arthropoda; Arachnida; Araneae; Ctenidae.